RNAcentral lists this ribosomal RNA (120 nucleotides) under Allium thunbergii. Lineage: Eukaryota; Viridiplantae; Streptophyta; Magnoliopsida; Asparagales; Amaryllidaceae. The record is from RNAcentral.
GGGUGCGAUCAUACCAGCACUAAAGCACCGGAUCCCAUCAGAACUCCGAAGUUAAGCGUGCUUGGGCGAGAGUAGUACUAGGAUGGGUGACCUCCUGGAAAGUCCUCGUGUUGCACUCCU